CUCCGCCCUUUGUUGACAGACGAGAUCAAUAUUUAUAUUGGCAAUAAGCACUCCCCACACUCUUCACAUGCAUAAAUCGUGGCUCAUAAGUGCACAUUUCCACCCAAGCGCUGAUCUCUCUAAAUAUAAUAGCUUCUAUGGAAGCCAGCUCGCUCAUCCCUGUGACAACGCUUGGACAAGAAAUCCACUCAUGUGAUGGAAUUCUUAUCCUUUGCCAGUUAAGUUAGUUUGGUUAGGUUUAGAUUAGUUCAGUUAGGUUAGGUUGUCAUUUUGGUUAGAAUAGGUUAGUUUUGUUAGGUCUGGUGUAACUUGAUAUUUCAUGGUCCUAAUCUAAACUAUCCUACCCUGACAUUCCUAACCUCCAGUAUAACAUAUCAGUUAAUUAAACCCAAGAGAGAAAUAAAAAGCAGAAAAGUAAUUAUAUAUUUUCCUCUGUGUGAAUAAAAUAAUUAUAUCUAUUUCACUGUCCUAACUCCUCCUAAUCUGUUGUAGCCUAACCCCUGGGACAAAAUAUCAAUGAAAUGACCCAGGCAGAAAUUUAAAAACUGCCAAAAUUAAACUUUUUAAAAUGUAAAGAAAUGGAUCAGGUGAAGUAGAAGGCAGUCAUCCCUCUAUGCUGGCUUCACCUCUCACUUAUUAUAAGCCAAACAUGUCAUAAUAUGGAGCCACAUGACUAAGCUUUCACAUCUGCUGGUCAGAUGUAUCCACCAUUGCCUGAUUUUAGUGUGAUGAAGGUUUAAGUAGUAAGUCAUUGUCCAUCUAUCCUAUUCAUGGUCUUCCUCUUAAUGUUACAUCUUGUUCACCUAUCAUUCUUCUACCAUUCUCUCUCUACAUGUAGAUACAAGCGAGCCUAACGCUCAGUACUCUGCUUGAUCAGAUCUCUCUCCUCUAACAGCAGUUCUUCACAUUUCAUAAUUUUUCUCUUGAUUCAUAAAUAUUACACCAUGCAAAUUACUCAGAUACCUCGUUUCAAUUAUGGUCAAUCUUCUCUCCUCUCCUCCUCAUAUUUCAUGUUUAAGCACCAUGCAGUCUCUUUGGAACCACUGCAAUCUCAUGAUAUCUUUUUUGCAUUCAUUCUAAGCAAUCUAGAACCUGUAUGCACUCUGUUCAUCCCUCCUCCCACACCUUUUUUUACUUCAUUCAUAGAUUAAUAUAUAUUCAUUUUCCUAUACCAACAUGCACUCUAAGGUACUUGAAACAAUAUGAAAUUUCCCCUUUAAAUGUUUCUAAAUAAUCCUAAGUUGUGAUGUUAUAAUGUACAAAAAUACACUGUGGAAAGAACAGCUAAUCAAAGAUUAGAACUGAGCUGGAAAAUCCAAAUUCUUGUCUUUCUGUGUUAUUCUGCCCAUCUCUCAUCCAUCACUGAAGGAAACAGCAAAGACAAGCAUUAUUACAAGGUUAGGCUUUUAUUCCAAAUGAGAACUGCUACAACACUGUAUAAAUUAUGACGAGAAUUGGCAAAUGUAAACUUGUGAUUGUUCCUCCCACACAGUUCUGGAUCAAACAUACACAUAACAAGCAAAACAAAGUUAUCUUUUGGAUGAGAGUGAGAAUUGAAAAGUGUAUUGGUAAAGUAAGGGAACAGUGUCCAAGGUGGGUGAAAUAAUGAUCAAGAACUUCAAGGGAAGAACGUGGAAGCAGAUCGAGGGAGCCGCAGUCCAGCGGCAUUCAGCGCUCUGCAAGUUGAGCUUCUUUACGAAUAUUCAACAAAUGAUACACAGUACAUAUUAAAAAGUCGACAGAGCGCCUGCAAAUGGAGAUAAAGUUUGCUGGGAAAUAAACCAUAAAGGUCUUUGCCAACACAUGUCGGGUACUCGGGUGCUCCCAGCGGCAGGGGGGGGUGGGGAGCACACAGUCGCUCUCAGAGAAAUUCAUUAUUACAAAAGGUCACUGUUGAGAUGCCGUCUCCACCAUUGGGGGAUGGCAACUCACAUCAGCAUUGUUUUUCUCCCAGUAUAUGUGUUUUAAUUACAAGUAGAUGAAGUAGUAAAAUUAUGUAGAAAAUAAGUCCCCACUAUCCUGUGGUGACUACAAUUCACCUUGAGAUACAUACAAAUAUUUCCACAAUAACAAUGUUUGUGCAGUAAGACAUAUUGUCACUUUUUAUAUGUAAAGGUUUACAUUGUGCUACUUACUCCUUGGUAGGAAAAAAAGAAAAAAAGAUUAUUAUUUUCCACAUCUAAUACUGACCUCAUAUAAAAACUACUGUAAAAAAUGUGGCCACUCUGCAAGUUGGGUCACUAAAUGGCCUUGCCUGUUGUCACUGUACAGAGCUGGUGGUUCACUCUUGUUCACCAGUAGAUUUAUAAACAAAUUGCAAUAGCUGUACGACAGAGUCCAUGGAACUCCAGGUGGAGGUGAGCUGAUGUUGUCAGAACUCAAAACAGUUCAUGGUGGCAUAAAAAAAAAACGACAAAAGGGCCUCAUAACCCUUCUGCCGAUAGGAGCAACUCAGAUGCAUCACAGGUGUCGUGCCAAGUCCCUAAAGCGGGAACUUCCUUACUUAAUACUUUUGGCGGCAGACUUUAUUCAAAAAUGCCAGAAAAAACAUCAGGAUCGUUCCGAGGCAGGUACUGACAGUGGUCGAGUGGGUGUCUGUUUGUGCAGAACAUGAGGGACACCUGUUUGAUGCAUCUCUGGGUUGCCUGAUGUGGUGUGUGAGGUGAUGCUUCUCUUGUAACAAAACUCGAUAAAGCACUUCAGACAUCGACGUCGAGAGGAAACUCCCCACCUGAAGUGUCUGUAGGGUGAGUGAUCCGUUCAUAUGCUUCUGCCAAACCAGCCUCUCCUGCACUCACACGAGGGGAGCAAGUGAAUCCUUUUUACAGUUUGUGGUGAUAAAGGAACGUAAGACCUAUGGGAAUGCUAAAGAUAUAUACAGUCUGAGGAGUUUUUUGUACAGAUUUAUAAAUUCUAGCUUUAUUAAUUAGAAAUGUAAAAUAUCUUAUAAUAUGCCAUAGCAAGCUUGGGUAAUGUGACUCUAUAUAUCUUUCAGCAUCAGGGGGAUGAAAGGGGGCCAAGCCUGGUGAUGGCCCA
Long non-coding RNA from Scylla paramamosain (green mud crab), 3036 nucleotides. RefSeq lists it as uncharacterized. The record is from RefSeq and is a predicted model, not a curated record. The transcript is spliced from 2 exons. Lineage: Eukaryota; Metazoa; Arthropoda; Malacostraca; Decapoda; Portunidae.